Molecule: ribosomal RNA, 323 nt
Filed under: uncultured Spirochaetota bacterium
Lineage: Bacteria; Pseudomonadati; Spirochaetota
Description: bacterial SSU rRNA
Rfam family: Bacterial small subunit ribosomal RNA
Source: RNAcentral
GACGAACGCUGGCGGCGUGGAUUAGGCAUGCAAGUCGAACGGUAGGGACCUUUCGGGGUCCUGAGAGUGGCGAACGGGUGAGUAACACGUAGGUGAUCUACCCUCAAGACGGGGACAACCCAGGGAAACUUGGGCUAAUACCGGAUGAUAGCCAUCGCAAGGUGGUUUAAAAGGUGGCGUAAGCUGCCGUUUGGGGAUGAGCCUGCGCUCUAUUAGUUAGUUGGUGGGGUAACGGCCUACCAAGGCGAUGAUAGAUAGGCGGCCUUAACGGGUGGUCGCCCACACUGGGAUUGAGAUACGGCCCAGACUCCUACGGGUGGCUG